This 439-nucleotide ribosomal RNA is filed under the name uncultured bacterium. Its description in RNAcentral is "bacterial SSU rRNA". It matches the Rfam family "Bacterial small subunit ribosomal RNA", at positions 364 to 793 of the family's 1533-position model. The record is from RNAcentral.
UUGCACAAUGGGCGCUAAGCCUGAUGCAGCCAUGCCGCGUGUAUGAAGAAGGCCUUCGGGUUGUAAAGUACUUUCAGCAGUGAGGAAGGUGGGUAUGUUAAUAGCAUAUUCAUUUGACGUUAGCUGCAGAAGAAGCACCGGCUAACUCCGUGCCAGCAGUCGCGGUAAUACGGAGGGUGCGAGCGUUAAUCGGAAUUACUGGGCGUAAAGCGCAUGCAGGUGGUUUGUUAAGUCAGAUGUGAAAGCCCGGGGCUCAACCUCGGAAUUGCAUUUGAAACUGGCAAACUAGAGUACUGUAGAGGGGGGUAGAAUUUCAGGUGUAGCGGUGAAAUGCGUAGAGAUCUGAAGGAAUACCGGUGGCGAAGGCGGCCCCCCUGGACAGAUACUGACACUCAGAUGCGAAAGCGUGGGGAGCAAACAGGAUUAGAUACCCUGGUAA